GACGAACGCUGGCGGCGUGCUUAACACAUGCAAGUCGAACGGAAAGGCCCUGCUUUUGUGGGGUGCUCGAGUGGCAAACGGGUGAGUAACACGUGCGUAACCUGCCCUUGACUUUGGGAUAACUUCAGGAAACUGGGGCUACUACCGGAUAGGAGCUCCUGCUGCAUGGUGGGGGUUGGAAAGUUUCGGCGGUUGGGGAUGGAGGCGCGUCUUAUCAGCUUGUGGGUGGGGUAGUGGCUUACCAAGGCUUUGACGGGUAGCUGGCCUGAGAGGGUGACCGGUUACACUGGGAAUGAGACACGGACUCGAAUGGUAGGGGAGGGAGGGGAAGAGAAUAUUAGGGGAGGAACGCUAGUCCAGCAACGCCGUGCGGGGUAAGACGUCAUGCGGGUUGUAUAGUGAUUUUGCCUUAGCCGAAGCGAUAAUGACGGUAAUGGGGAAAGAAGCACCGGCUAACUACGUG
This 463-nucleotide ribosomal RNA is filed under the name uncultured bacterium. RNAcentral's name for it is "partial 16S ribosomal RNA". It matches the Rfam family "Bacterial small subunit ribosomal RNA", at positions 28 to 507 of the family's 1533-position model. The record is from RNAcentral.